UACGAAGGGGGCUAGCGUUGCUCGGAAUCACUGGGCGUAAAGCGCACGUAGGCGGAUCUUUAAGUCAGGGGUGAAAUCCCAAGGCUCAACCUUGGAACUGCCCUUGAUACUGGGGAUCUCGAGUCCGGAAGAGGUUGGUGGAACUCCGAGUGUAGAGGUGAAAUUCGUAGAUAUUCGGAAGAACACCAGUGGCGAAGGCGGCCAACUGGUCCGGCACUGACGCUGAGGUGCGAAAGCGUGGGGAGCAAACAGG
Molecule: ribosomal RNA, 253 nt
Filed under: uncultured bacterium
Lineage: Bacteria
Also listed under: 1 other name
Description: partial 16S ribosomal RNA
Rfam family: Bacterial small subunit ribosomal RNA
Source: RNAcentral